Molecule: long non-coding RNA, 1015 nt
Filed under: Bos indicus x Bos taurus (hybrid cattle)
Lineage: Eukaryota; Metazoa; Chordata; Mammalia; Artiodactyla; Bovidae
Description: lncRNA (ENSBIXG00005001671.1)
Source: RNAcentral
AAUAUUUUUGGGGGGAAGUGAAACUUCUGUAUGAGUCUAUGAUGGCAAAUACAUGUGAUUAUACAUUUGUCAAAACCCAUAGAAUGUACAAUACCAAAGGGAAUUCUGAUCUAAACUGUGGAUUUUGGCUGAUUACAUUGUGUUAAUGUAGGGGGGUGAUGUUGGUAAUGGGGAAAGAUAUGCUUGUGUGGAAGCAGAAGGUGUACAGGUGAUGGCUGUACCUCCCUCUCAAUUUCACUGUGAACCUAAACCUGCUCUAAAAAGUAAAGCUUAUUAAAUAAGGUUUAUUAAAACAAAAUAUAUAAUAGAUAAGAACCUACUGUAUAGCACAGGGAACUCUAUUCAGUGUGUGUAAUGACCUAUAUGGGAAUGGAGUCUAGAAGAGGGUGCCUGUUUAUGUGUGUAUGGCUGAUUCACUUUACAGCAGAAAUUAACACAACAUUGUAAAGCAACUAUACUCAAAUAUAAAAUUAAUUAAAAAGCAAAAUGAGAUGAAAACAAAAAAAAUCAAAUAACCAGAUAUUUGAACUACAUUAUAUAAAAUAGUUGAGUGGUUAGCAGAAAUUUUAUUCUGAAUGUUUUUGUGCAGUGCCCAGGAAGCCUGUUCCUGAGGUUCCAGCCUCACUGCAAGACUUGUUUCUGUGUAGAACCAUGAAGAUUUGGUUCCCUGUGGAAGUUGACAUGGGAAAAAUUGAAAUAGCCCACAUACAUGGAAGCUGGAGAGAGAGGAUGAGAAAAAUGCUGGGAAGCUUCUAGAGGGGAUUUCCCGUGCUCUGAGAGACUGAGUCACCACUCCCAGUGCUCCAGAUUACUGGUGGGAACCUUUGAGGACAUGCCUCCACGUCAUUAUGCUCAACACCUUCAACUGUUGAAGGUACCGUCAUUCUGGAUGGGUCUCCCAGCAGAGUUCCUUGGAUUAUUAUGCAGAUGGUGGUUUAGCUACAACUGCAAUAGCACCAGCAGCAUCUGGGGACCAGGCAGCCAACAGAUGUGGACAUGUGACCUUGACAGCUAG